This 513-nucleotide ribosomal RNA is filed under the name uncultured bacterium. RNAcentral's name for it is "bacterial SSU rRNA". It matches the Rfam family "Bacterial small subunit ribosomal RNA", at positions 29 to 526 of the family's 1533-position model. The record is from RNAcentral.
AACGAACGCUGGCGGCGGGCCUCAUACAUGCAAGUCGAGCGCGAAAGUCCGCAAGGAUGAGUAAAGCGGCGCACGGGUGAGUAACACGUGGAUAAUCUACCCUUUGGAUUGGAAUAACCUGUCGAAAGACGGGCUAAUGCCAAGUAAGCUUACGAGUUCGUGAAGUUCUUGUAAGGAAAGAUGGCGCAAGCAAUCGCCGAAGGAUGAGUCUGCGUCCCAUUAGUUAGUUGGUGGGGUAAUGGCUUACCAAGACAAUGAUGGGUACCUGGUCUGAGAGGAUGAUCAGGCACACUGGAACUGAAACACGGUCCAGACUCCUACGGGAGGCAGCAGUAGGGAAUAUUGCGCAAUGGACGAAAGUCUGACGCAGCCACGCCGCGUGAGUGAGGAAGGCCUUCGGGUUGUAAAGCUCUGUCAUUCGGGAAAAACAGCCAGUCGGGGAAAGUUCGAUUGGUUUGAUGGUACCGAAGGAGGAAGCACCGGCAAACUCUGUGCCAGCAGCCGCCGUAACAC